AGGAAUGGAAUGAUAAAGAGGGAUGAAGAGAAAGGAUACAAGACUGCCCCAGAAAGCAACGGCAUCUGUCCUAUGCCACUCAGCGAGUUAUUAAGUAGGAACUUCAACUGAACCUAGAACUUUUUCACACCUCGAUUAGAAAGGAAACAAAACAAAACAAAAACCCA
This is a long non-coding RNA of Mastomys coucha (southern multimammate mouse), 167 nucleotides long. RefSeq lists it as uncharacterized. The record is from RefSeq and is a predicted model, not a curated record. The transcript is spliced from 2 exons. Lineage: Eukaryota; Metazoa; Chordata; Mammalia; Rodentia; Muridae.